Molecule: long non-coding RNA, 234 nt
Organism: Pseudophryne corroboree (corroboree frog)
Lineage: Eukaryota; Metazoa; Chordata; Amphibia; Anura; Myobatrachidae
Exons: 2
Source: RefSeq, a predicted model, not a curated record
GCCCCUUGCCACCCGCCGGGUGAGCGGUCCCGGACAAGCUGGCGGGAGUUUCACAGAUGGUGUUGGUGUAUAAAAGGACUGUGACCACAGAUUACCCAGGAUCCGCAGAAUGCAUACGGCCAUGACACGUGAUUUUGGGGAAUCGCCAUAACCCAUGCCCAGCCUCACAUCCAUAAUCCAGGACCUCCUAAUCGGCUUUUACCAAAAUAAAAUAAAGAAAUGUGGGUAAAAUAA